Molecule: non-coding RNA, 204 nt
Organism: Pelobates cultripes (western spadefoot toad)
Lineage: Eukaryota; Metazoa; Chordata; Amphibia; Anura; Pelobatidae
Source: the annotation of a GenBank genome assembly
CCAGCAUGGCAGGCACUGUGCUGAGAGCCGGCAGGGGAGGGAGGGAGGGAGUGAGAGAGAGGACCCGGAGCUCAGCCUGCAGCUCCUCCGGGUCCUCCUCUCGUGAGAUUUGAAGCGUUGCCGCGGUUACCACGGCAACGCUCCAAAUCUCGCGAAAGUGAACUCUAGCCCGGGAGCACGGGUUAGAGUUCACUCUCCCCACUG